This 520-nucleotide ribosomal RNA is filed under the name uncultured Glomus. RNAcentral describes it as "SSU rRNA". It matches the Rfam family "Eukaryotic small subunit ribosomal RNA", at positions 569 to 1089 of the family's 1831-position model. The record is from RNAcentral. Lineage: Eukaryota; Fungi; Glomeromycota; Glomeromycetes; Glomerales; Glomeraceae.
CGCAGCCGCGGUAAUUCCAGCUCCAAUAGCGUAUAUUAAAGUUGUUGCAGUUAAAAAGCUCGUAGUUGAAUUUCGGGAUCAAGGAAUCGGUCAUGCCUUGGUAUGUACUGGUUUUAUUGGUUCUCACCUUCUAAAGAACCAUAAUGUCAUUUAUUUGAUGUUAUGGGGAAUUAGGACUGUUACCUUGAAAAAAUUAGAGUAGUUUAAAAGCAAGCUUACGCUUGAAUACAUUAGCAUGGAAUAAUGAAAUAGGACAUCAGAUUCUAUUUUGUUGGUUUCUAGGAUUCGAUGUAAUGAUUAAUAGGGAUAGUUGGGGGCAUUAGUAUUCAAUUGUCAGAGGUGAAAUUCUUGGAUUUAUUGAAGACUAACUACUGCGAAAGCAUUUGCCAAGGAUGUUUUCAUUAAUCAAGAACGAAAGUUAGGGGAUCGAAGACGAUCAGAUACCGUCGUAGUCUUAACCAUAAACUAUGCCGACUAGGGAUCGGAUGAUGUUAAUUUUUAAUGACUCAUUCGGCNCCUU